This 422-nucleotide ribosomal RNA is filed under the name uncultured bacterium. RNAcentral describes it as "bacterial SSU rRNA". It matches the Rfam family "Bacterial small subunit ribosomal RNA", at positions 9 to 433 of the family's 1533-position model. The record is from RNAcentral.
GAGUUUGAUCAUGGCUCAGAUUGAACGCUGGCGGCAGGCCUAACACAUGCAAGUCGAGCGGUAGAGAGAAGCUUGCUUCUCUUGAGAGCGGCGGACGGGUGAGUAAUGCCUAGGAAUCUGCCUGGUAGUGGGGGAUAACGCUCGGAAACGGACGCUAAUACCGCAUACGUCCUACGGGAGAAAGCAGGGGACCUUCGGGCCUUGCGCUAUCAGAUGAGCCUAGGUCGGAUUAGCUAGUUGGUGAGGUAAUGGCUCACCAAGGCGACGAUCCGUAACUGGUCUGAGAGGAUGAUCAGUCACACUGGAACUGAGACACGGUCCAGACUCCUACGGGAGGCAGCAGUGGGGAAUAUUGGACAAUGGGCGAAAGCCUGAUCCAGCCAUGCCGCGUGUGUGAAGAAGGUCUUCGGAUUGUAAAGCAC